This 274-nucleotide ribosomal RNA is filed under the name uncultured bacterium. Its description in RNAcentral is "partial 16S ribosomal RNA". It matches the Rfam family "Bacterial small subunit ribosomal RNA", at positions 523 to 796 of the family's 1533-position model. The record is from RNAcentral.
AUACGGAGGGUGCAAGCGUUCUUCGGAAUCACUGGGCGUAAAGGACGCGUAGGCGGGUUGGCAAGUCAGAUGUGAAAUCCUACAGCUUAACUGUAGAACUGCAUUUGAAACUGCUUACCUAGAGUAUGGGAGGGGGAGAUGGAAUUAGUGGUGUAGGGGUAAAAUCCGUAGAUAUCACUAGGAAUACCGAAAGCGAAGGCGAUCUCCUGGAACAUAACUGACGCUAAGGCGUGAAAGCGUGGGGAGCACACAGGAUUAGAUACCCUAGUAGUCC